Triticum aestivum (bread wheat) is the source of this 135-nucleotide non-coding RNA. NCBI's taxonomy places the organism in Eukaryota, Viridiplantae, Streptophyta, Magnoliopsida, Poales, Poaceae. The record is from Rfam.
AAAGUACUCCCUCCGUCCCAAAAUUCUUGUCUUAGAUUUGUCUAGAUACGGAUGUAUCAAGUCACAUUUUAGUAUUAGAUACAUCCGUAUCUAGACAAAUCUAAGACAAGAAAUUUGGGACAGAGGGAGUAGUUU